This 67-nucleotide transfer RNA is filed under the name Metapenaeopsis barbata. RNAcentral describes it as "tRNA-Tyr". It matches the Rfam family "tRNA". From Rfam's summary of the family: Transfer RNA (tRNA) molecules are approximately 80 nucleotides in length. Their secondary structure includes four short double-helical elements and three loops (D, anti-codon, and T loops). Lineage: Eukaryota; Metazoa; Arthropoda; Malacostraca; Decapoda; Penaeidae. The record is from RNAcentral.
GGUAAUGUGGCUGAGGUCAUAGGCGAUAGACUGUAAAUCUAUACACGGAGUUUAAAUCCUUUUACCA